RNAcentral lists this ribosomal RNA (253 nucleotides) under uncultured bacterium. RNAcentral describes it as "partial 16S ribosomal RNA". It matches the Rfam family "Bacterial small subunit ribosomal RNA", at positions 524 to 776 of the family's 1533-position model. The record is from RNAcentral.
UACGUAGGCAGCAAGCGUUGUUCGGAAUUACUGGGCGUAAAGAGUGUGUAGGCGGUGCACUAAGUUUGUCGUGAAAUCUCCCGGCUUAACUGGGAGGGUGCGGCGAAUACUGGUGUGCUCGAGGGUGGGAGAGGUAAGCGGAAUUCCUGGUGUAGCGGUGAAAUGCGUAGAUAUCAGGAGGAACACCUGCGGUGUAGACAGCUUACUGGACCAUUUCUGACGCUGAGACACGAAAGCGUGGGUAGCAAACAGG